CCUACGGGAGGCAGCAGUGGGGAAUAUUGGGCAAUGGGCGCAAGCCUGACCCAGCAACGCCGCGGGAAGGAAGAAGGCUUUCGGGUUGUAAACUUCUUUUCUCAGGGACGAAGAAAGUGACGGUACCUGAGGAAUAAGCCACGGCUAACUACGUGCCAGCAGCCGCGGUAAUACGUAGGUGGCAAGCGUUAUCCGGAUUUACUGGGUGUAAAGGGCGUGUAGGCGGGACGGCAAGUCAGACGUGAAAACCACGGGCUCAACCUGUGGACUGCAUUUGAAACUGUAGUUCUUGAGUACUGGAGAGGUAGACGGAAUUCCUAGUGUAGCGGUGAAAUGCGUAGAUAUUAGGAGGAACACCAGUGGCGAAGGCGGUCUUCUGGACCGCAACUGACGCUGAGGCGCGAAAGCGUGGGGAGCAAACAGGAUUAGAUACCCUUGUAGUC
RNAcentral lists this ribosomal RNA (443 nucleotides) under uncultured bacterium. RNAcentral describes it as "partial 16S ribosomal RNA". It matches the Rfam family "Bacterial small subunit ribosomal RNA", at positions 338 to 795 of the family's 1533-position model. The record is from RNAcentral.